This 482-nucleotide ribosomal RNA is filed under the name uncultured bacterium. RNAcentral's name for it is "partial 16S ribosomal RNA". It matches the Rfam family "Bacterial small subunit ribosomal RNA", at positions 29 to 507 of the family's 1533-position model. The record is from RNAcentral.
ACGAACGCUGGCGGCGUGCUUCACACAUGCAAGUCGAACGCUGAAGCUCAGCUUUUGUUGGGUGGAUGAGUGGCGAACGGGUGAGUAACACGUGAGUAACCUGCCCCCUUCUUUGGGAUAACGCCCGGAAACGGGUGCUAAUACUGGAUAUUCACUGGUCUUCGCAUGGGGGUUGGUGGAAAGGGUUUUUCUGGUGGGGGAUGGGCUCGCGGCCUAUCAGCUUGUUGGUGGGGUGAUGGCCUACCAAGGCUUUGACGGGUAGCCGGCCUGAGAGGGUGACCGGUCACAUUGGGACUGAGAUACGGCCCAGACUCCUACGGGAGGCAGCAGUGGGGAAUAUUGCACAAUGGGCGCAAGCCUGAUGCAGCGACGCCGCGUGAGGGAUGGAGGCCUUCGGGUUGUGAACCUCUUUCGCUCAUGGUCAAGCCGCAACAAUGGUUGUGGUGAGGGUAGUGGGUAAAGAAGCGCCGGCUAACUACGUG